AUGGGAGCGACCCCCUCCUGGAGGUCGGCAAGAACUACGACGGGCGCGACCCCCUUCUGGGGGUCUGCCGGGACUGCGGCGGGCGCGACCCCCUCCUGGGGGUCCGCCGGGACUGCGGCGGGCGCGACCCCCUCCUGGAGGUCCGCCGGGACUGCGGCUGGCGCGACCUCCUCCUGGAGGUGCGCCGGGACUGCGGCUGGCGCGACCUCCUCCUGGAGGUGCGCCGGGACUGCGGCUGGCGCGACCUCCUCCUGGAGGUGCGCCGGGACUGCGGCUGGCGCGACCUCCUCCUGGAGGUGCGCCGGGACUGCGGCUGGCGCGACCUCCUCCUGGAGGUGCGCCGGAACUGCGGCUGGCGCAACCUCCUCCUGGAGGUGCGCAGGAACUGCGGCUGGCGCAACCUCCUCCUGGAGGUGCGCAGGAACUGCGGCUGGCGCAACCUCCUCCUGGAGGUGCGCAGGAACUGCGGCUGGCGCAACCUCCUCCUGGAGGUGCGCAGGAACUGCGGCUGGCGCAACCUCCUCCUGGAGGUGCGCAGGAACUGCGGCUGGCGCAACCUCCUCCUGGAGGUGCGCAGGAACUGCGGCUGGCGCAACCUCCUCCUGGAGGUGCGCAGGAACUGCGACUGGCGCAACCUCCUCCUGGAGGUGCGCAGGAACUGCGACUGGCGCAACCUCCUCCUGGAGGUGCGCAGGAACUGCGACUGGCGCAACCUCCUCCUGGAGGUGCGCAGGAACUGCGACUGGCGCGACCUCCUCCUGGAGGUGCGCAGGAACUGCGGCUAGCGCGACCUCCUCCUGGAGGUGCGCAGGAACUGCGACUAGCGCGACCUCCUCCUGGAGGUGCGCAGGAACUGCGACUGGCGCGACCUCCUCCUGGAGGUGCGCAGGAACUACGGCUAGCGCGACCUCCUCCUGGGGACCGGCGGGCGCUGCGGCUCCACGGGUGACGGGGACUGGAACGACCGCUACAGGGCCGACAGGAACGGGGACUGGAACGACCGCUACAGGGUCGACAGGAACGGGGACUGGAACGACCGCUACAGGGCCGACAGGAACGGGGACUGGAACGACCGCUACAGGGUCGACAGGAACGGGGACUGGAACGACCGCUACAGGGCCGACAGGAACGGGGACUGGAACGACCGCUACAGGGCCGACAGGAACGGGGACUGGAACGACCACUACAGGGUCGACAGGAACGGGGACUGGAACGACCGCUACAGGGUCGACAGGAACGGGGACUGGAACGACCGCUACAGGGUCGACAGGAACGGGGUCAGAGACAGGGGUGACCUCUACUUGGCCUACGGGAACGCCCUCUACUUGGCCUACGGGAACGCCCUCUACUUGGCCUACGGGAACGCCCUCUACUUGGCCUACGGGAACGCCCUCUACUCGGCCUACGGGAACGCCCUCUACUCGGCCUACGGGAACGCCCUCUACUCGGCCUACGGGAACGACCUCAAUUUGGUCGGCAGGGACAGGGACUGGAACGACCUCAAUUUGGUCGGCAGGGACAGGGACUGGAACGACCUCAACUUGGUCGGCAGGGACAGGAACUGGAACGACCUCAACAUGGCCGACAGGGACAGGAACUGGAACGACCUCGACAUGGCCGACAGGAACUGGAACGACCUCGACAUGGCCGACAGGAACUGGAACGACCUCGACAUGGCCGACAGGAACUGGAACGACCUCGACAUGGCCGACAGGAACUGGAACGACCUCAACAUGGCCGACAGGAACUGGAACGACCUCAACAUGGCCGACAGGAACUGGAACGACCUCAACAUGGCCGACAGGAACUGGAACGACCUCAACAUGGCCGACUGGAACUGGAACGACCUCAACAUGGCCGACUGGAACUGGAACGACCUCAACAUGGCCGACAGGGACAGGAACGACCUUUAACGGAUCGACAGGAACUGGAACGACCGCAACAUGGCCGACAGGGACUGGAACGGCCUCUACUUGGCCGACAGGAACUAGAACGGCGUCCUCCUCUGAGGAGCCGACAGGAACUGGAACUAGAACGGCCUCAAUAUGGCCGACGGGAACAGGGACGGCGUCCUCCUCUGAGGAGCCGACAGGAACUAGAACGACCGCAACAUGGCCGACAGGGACUGGAGCGGCGUCCCCUCCGGAGCUGGCAUGA
RNAcentral lists this long non-coding RNA (2157 nucleotides) under Betta splendens (Siamese fighting fish). RNAcentral's name for it is "lncRNA (ENSBSLG00000002265.1)". Lineage: Eukaryota; Metazoa; Chordata; Actinopteri; Anabantiformes; Osphronemidae. The record is from RNAcentral.